Molecule: ribosomal RNA, 454 nt
Filed under: uncultured bacterium
Lineage: Bacteria
Description: partial 16S ribosomal RNA
Rfam family: Bacterial small subunit ribosomal RNA
Source: RNAcentral
GAUGAACGCUGACAGAAUGCUUAACACAUGCAAGUCAACUUGAACUUCGGUUUGGGUGGCGGACGGGUGAGUAACGCGUAAAGAACUUGCCUCACAGUUAGGGACAACAUUUGGAAACGAAUGCUAAUACCUGAUAUUAUGAUUUUAGGGCAUCCUAGAAUUAUGAAAGUUAUAUGCGCUGUGAGAGAGCUUUGCGUCCCAUUAGCUAGUUGGAGAGGUAACGGCUCACCAAGGCGAUGAUGGGUAGCCGGCCUGAGAGGGUGAACGGCCACAAGGGGACUGAGACACGGCCCUUACUCCUACGGGAGGCAGCAGUGGGGAAUAUUGGACAAUGGGCCAAGAGUCUGAUCCAGCAAUUCUGUGUGCACGAUGAAGUUUUUCGGAAUGUAAAGUGCUUUCAGUUGGGAAGAAAAAAAUGACGAUACCAACAGAAGAAGUGACGGCUAAAUACGUG